UUAAGCGACUAAGCGUACACGGUGGAUGCCCUGGCAGUCAGAGGCGAUGAAGGACGUGCUAAUCUGCGAUAAGCGUCGGUAAGGUGAUAUGAACCGUUAUAACCGGCGAUUUCCGAAUGGGGAAACCCAGUGUGAUUCGUCACACUAUCAUUAACUGAAUCCAUAGGUUAAUGAGGCGAACCGGGGGAACUGAAACAUCUAAGUACCCCGAGGAAAAGAAAUCAACCGAGAUUCCCCCAGUAGCGGCGAGCGAACGGGGAGCAGCCCAGAGCCUGAAUCAGUGUGUGUGUUAGUGGAAGCGUCUGGAAAGGCGUGCGAUACAGGGUGACAGCCCCGUACACAAAAAUGCACAUGCUGUGAGCUCGAUGAGUAGGGCGGGACACGUGGUAUCCUGUCUGAAUAUGGGGGGACCAUCCUCCAAGGCUAAAUACUCCUGACUGACCGAUAGUGAACCAGUACCGUGAGGGAAAGGCGAAAAGAACCCCGGCGAGGGGAGUGAAAAAGAACCUGAAACCGUGUACGUACAAGCAGUGGGAGCACGCUUAGGCGUGUGACUGCGUACCUUUUGUAUAAUGGGUCAGCGACUUAUAUUCUGUAGCAAGGUUAACCGAAUAGGGGAGCCGAAGGGAAACCGAGUCUUAACUGGGCGUUAAGUUGCAGGGUAUAGACCCGAAACCCGGUGAUCUAGCCAUGGGCAGGUUGAAGGUUGGGUAACACUAACUGGAGGACCGAACCGACUAAUGUUGAAAAAUUAGCGGAUGACUUGUGGCUGGGGGUGAAAGGCCAAUCAAACCGGGAGAUAGCUGGUUCUCCCCGAAAGCUAUUUAGGUAGCGCCUCGUGAAUUCAUCUCCGGGGGUAGAGCACUGUUUCGGCAAGGGGGUCAUCCCGACUUACCAACCCGAUGCAAACUGCGAAUACCGGAGAAUGUUAUCACGGGAGACACACGGCGGGUGCUAACGUCCGUCGUGAAGAGGGAAACAACCCAGACCGCCAGCUAAGGUCCCAAAGUCAUGGUUAAGUGGGAAACGAUGUGGGAAGGCCCAGACAGCCAGGAUGUUGGCUUAGAAGCAGCCAUCAUUUAAAGAAAGCGUAAUAGCUCACUGGUCGAGUCGGCCUGCGCGGAAGAUGUAACGGGGCUAAACCAUGCACCGAAGCUGCGGCAGCGACGCUUAUGCGUUGUUGGGUAGGGGAGCGUUCUGUAAGCCUGCGAAGGUGUGCUGUGAGGCAUGCUGGAGGUAUCAGAAGUGCGAAUGCUGACAUAAGUAACGAUAAAGCGGGUGAAAAGCCCGCUCGCCGGAAGACCAAGGGUUCCUGUCCAACGUUAAUCGGGGCAGGGUGAGUCGACCCCUAAGGCGAGGCCGAAAGGCGUAGUCGAUGGGAAACAGGUUAAUAUUCCUGUACUUGGUGUUACUGCGAAGGGGGGACGGAGAAGGCUAUGUUGGCCGGGCGACGGUUGUCCCGGUUUAAGCGUGUAGGCUGGUUUUCCAGGCAAAUCCGGAAAACUAAGGCUGAGGCGUGAUGACGAGGCACUACGGUGCUGAAGCAACAAAUGCCCUGCUUCCAGGAAAAGCCUCUAAGCAUCAGGUAACAUCAAAUCGUACCCCAAACCGACACAGGUGGUCAGGUAGAGAAUACCAAGGCGCUUGAGAGAACUCGGGUGAAGGAACUAGGCAAAAUGGUGCCGUAACUUCGGGAGAAGGCACGCUGAUAUGUAGGUGAAGUCCCUCGCGGAUGGAGCUGAAAUCAGUCGAAGAUACCAGCUGGCUGCAACUGUUUAUUAAAAACACAGCACUGUGCAAACACGAAAGUGGACGUAUACGGUGUGACGCCUGCCCGGUGCCGGAAGGUUAAUUGAUGGGGUUAGCGCAAGCGAAGCUCUUGAUCGAAGCCCCGGUAAACGGCGGCCGUAACUAUAACGGUCCUAAGGUAGCGAAAUUCCUUGUCGGGUAAGUUCCGACCUGCACGAAUGGCGUAAUGAUGGCCAGGCUGUCUCCACCCGAGACUCAGUGAAAUUGAACUCGCUGUGAAGAUGCAGUGUACCCGCGGCAAGACGGAAAGACCCCGUGAACCUUUACUAUAGCUUGACACUGAACAUUGAGCCUUGAUGUGUAGGAUAGGUGGGAGGCUUUGAAGUGUGGACGCCAGUCUGCAUGGAGCCGACCUUGAAAUACCACCCUUUAAUGUUUGAUGUUCUAACGUUGACCCGUAAUCCGGGUUGCGGACAGUGUCUGGUGGGUAGUUUGACUGGGGCGGUCUCCUCCUAAAGAGUAACGGAGGAGCACGAAGGUUGGCUAAUCCUGGUCGGACAUCAGGAGGUUAGUGCAAUGGCAUAAGCCAGCUUGACUGCGAGCGUGACGGCGCGAGCAGGUGCGAAAGCAGGUCAUAGUGAUCCGGUGGUUCUGAAUGGAAGGGCCAUCGCUCAACGGAUAAAAGGUACUCCGGGGAUAACAGGCUGAUACCGCCCAAGAGUUCAUAUCGACGGCGGUGUUUGGCACCUCGAUGUCGGCUCAUCACAUCCUGGGGCUGAAGUAGGUCCCAAGGGUAUGGCUGUUCGCCAUUUAAAGUGGUACGCGAGCUGGGUUUAGAACGUCGUGAGACAGUUCGGUCCCUAUCUGCCGUGGGCGCUGGAGAACUGAGGGGGGCUGCUCCUAGUACGAGAGGACCGGAGUGGACGCAUCACUGGUGUUCGGGUUGUCAUGCCAAUGGCACUGCCCGGUAGCUAAAUGCGGAAGAGAUAAGUGCUGAAAGCAUCUAAGCACGAAACUUGCCCCGAGAUGAGUUCUCCCUGACUCCUUGAGAGUCCUGAAGGAACGUUGAAGACGACGACGUUGAUAGGCCGGGUGUGUAAGCGCAGCGAUGCGUUGAGCUAACCGGUACUAAUGAACCGUGAGGCUUAACCUU
This 2902-nucleotide ribosomal RNA is filed under the name human gut metagenome. RNAcentral's name for it is "bacterial LSU rRNA". It matches the Rfam family "Bacterial large subunit ribosomal RNA". The record is from RNAcentral.